GCCUACGGGGGGCAGCAGUGAGGAAUAUUGGUCAAUGGUCGGGAAACUGAACCAGCCAAGCCGCGUGAGGGAUGAAGGUACAGAGUAUCGUAAACCUCUUUUGUCAGGGAACAAAGGCGGGGACGUGUCCCCGGACGAGUGUACCUGAAGAAAAAGCAUCGGCUAACUCCGUGCCAGCAGCCGCGGUAAUACGGAGGAUGCGAGCGUUAUCCGGAUUUAUUGGGUUUAAAGGGUGCGCAGGCGGUCUGUUAAGUCAGCGGUCAAAGCCCGGGGCUCAACCCCGGCCCGCCGUUGAAACUGGCAGG
RNAcentral lists this ribosomal RNA (305 nucleotides) under uncultured bacterium. RNAcentral's name for it is "bacterial SSU rRNA". It matches the Rfam family "Bacterial small subunit ribosomal RNA", at positions 337 to 640 of the family's 1533-position model. The record is from RNAcentral.